This 512-nucleotide ribosomal RNA is filed under the name uncultured bacterium. RNAcentral describes it as "bacterial SSU rRNA". It matches the Rfam family "Bacterial small subunit ribosomal RNA", at positions 777 to 1289 of the family's 1533-position model. The record is from RNAcentral.
AAUAGAUACCCAGGUAGUCCACGCCGUAAACGAUGAGUGCUAAGUGUUGGAGGGUUUCCGCCUUUCAGUGCUGCAGCUAACGCAUUAAGCACUCCGCCUGGGGAGUACGGUCGCAAGACUGAAACUCAAAGGAAUUGACGGGGGCCCGCACAAGCGGUGGAGCAUGUGGUUUAAUUCGAAGCAACGCGAAGAACCUUACCAGGUCUUGACAUCUCCUGACCGCCCUGGAGACAGGGUCUUCCCUUCGGGGACAGGAUGACAGGUGGUGCAUGGUUGUCGUCAGCUCGUGUCGUGAGAUGUUGGGUUAAGUCCCGCAACGAGCGCAACCCUUGGUUCUAGUUGCCAGCAUUGAGUUGGGCACUCUAGAGCGACUGCCGGCGACAAGUCGGAGGAAGGUGGGGAUGACGUCAAUCAUCAUGCCCCUUAUGACCUGGGCUACACACGUGCUACAAUGGAUGGUACAAAGGGCAGCAAAGCGGCGACGCAUGAGCGAAUCCCAGAAAACCAUUCUC